AGUGAACGCUGGCGGUAGGCCUAACACAUGCAAGUCGAACGGCAGCACAGUAAGAGCUUGCUCUUACGGGUGGCGAGUGGCGGACGGGUGAGGAAUACAUCGGAAUCUACUUUUUCGUGGGGGAUAACGUAGGGAAACUUACGCUAAUACCGCAUACGACCUACGGGUGAAAGCAGGGGAUCUUCGGACCUUGCGCGAUUGAAUGAGCCGAUGUCGGAUUAGCUAGUUGGCGGGGUAAAGGCCCACCAAGGCGACGAUCCGUAGCUGGUCUGAGAGGAUGAUCAGCCACACGGGAACUGAGACAGGGUCCAGACUCCUACGGGAGGCAGCAGUGGGGAAUAUUGGACAAUGGGCGCAAGCCUGGUCCAGCCAUACCGCGUGGGUGAAGAAGGCCUUCGGGGUGUAAAGCCCUUUUGUUGGGAAAGAAAAGCAGCAGGUUAAUACCCCGCUGUUCUGACGGUACCCAAAGAAUAAGCACCGGCUAACUUCGUG
This 492-nucleotide ribosomal RNA is filed under the name uncultured bacterium. Its description in RNAcentral is "partial 16S ribosomal RNA". It matches the Rfam family "Bacterial small subunit ribosomal RNA", at positions 29 to 507 of the family's 1533-position model. The record is from RNAcentral.